GCAUGUUCAGAUUUGAGACCUGACCCACAUUUAUGGUCUGGCCUCAGUGUACGGCAUGCUAGAUCAACUUUAGACUCCGAACCAUUGGCUGGUCCUCCUUAGUGGGCUAGAUCACUGAAGAGAGUCAGACAGCA
This 134-nucleotide small nucleolar RNA is filed under the name Cyprinodon variegatus (sheepshead minnow). RNAcentral describes it as "Small nucleolar RNA SNORA42/SNORA80 family (ENSCVAG00000017678.1)". The record is from RNAcentral. Lineage: Eukaryota; Metazoa; Chordata; Actinopteri; Cyprinodontiformes; Cyprinodontidae.